CGCUGGCGGCGUGCCUAAUACAUGCAAGUCGAACGGUCUUUCUAUGGAAGCUUGCUUCACUGAGAAGAUAGUGGCGAACGGGUGAGUAACACGUGGGUAACCUGCCCAUAAGAGGGGGGAUAACAUCCGGAAACGGGUGCUAAUACCGCAUAGUUCUCUUGAUCGCAUGAUUGAGAAAGGAAAGACGGCCUUUGUGCUGUCGCUUAUGGAUGGACCCGCGGCGUAUUAGUUAGUUGGUGAGGUAACGGCUCACCAAGACGAUGAUACGUAGCCGACCUGAGAGGGUGAUCGGCCACAUUGGGACUGAGACACGGCCCAAACUCCUACGGGAGGCAGCAGUAGGGAAUCUUCCGCAAUGGACGAAAGUCUGACGGAGCAACGCCGCGUGAGUGAAAGAAGGUUUUCGGAUCGUAAAACUCUGUUGUCAGAGAAGAACAAGUUGGAGAGUAACUGCUCCAGCCUUGACGGUAUCUGACCAGAAAGCCACGGCUAACUACGUGCCAGCCGCCGC
RNAcentral lists this ribosomal RNA (511 nucleotides) under uncultured bacterium. RNAcentral describes it as "bacterial SSU rRNA". It matches the Rfam family "Bacterial small subunit ribosomal RNA", at positions 34 to 518 of the family's 1533-position model. The record is from RNAcentral.